AACAUCGCGCACCUGCGGGAACCUGCGGAGGGAUCAUUAAAAAUUAUCCUCACUCAUGGAUAAUUUUAUCCAUAUCCACCUUGUGUGAAUUACUGAAUGUCUGUUGGCAGGUUUAAAAAGGCUUUUCCAUCAUAUGGAAAACUUUGGUGAGCGUUCGGCUCGGCCUGCCAAUUUUAUUUGUUUAAACUUGUCUAAAUAUUCCUAGUCUGAAAAUAUUUUAAAUAUAAUUAAUACAACUUU
This 240-nucleotide unclassified non-coding RNA is filed under the name soil metagenome. Its description in RNAcentral is "partial contains 5.8S ribosomal RNA, internal transcribed spacer 2, and large subunit ribosomal RNA". The record is from RNAcentral.